ACGGAGGGUGCAAGCGUUAAUCGGAAUUACUGGGCGUAAAGCGUGCGCAGGCGGUCAGAUAAGUCCGAUGUGAAAUCCCCGGGCUCAACCUGGGAACUGCAUUUGAGACUGCCUGACUAGAGUGUUGCAGAGGGGGGUAGAAUUCCACGUGUAGCGGUGAAAUGCGUAGAGAUGUGGAGGAAUACCGAUGGCGAAGGCAGCCCCCUGGAAUAACACUGACGCUCAUGCGCGAAAGCGUGGGGAGCAAACAG
RNAcentral lists this ribosomal RNA (251 nucleotides) under uncultured prokaryote. Its description in RNAcentral is "partial 16S rRNA". It matches the Rfam family "Bacterial small subunit ribosomal RNA", at positions 525 to 775 of the family's 1533-position model. The record is from RNAcentral.